Molecule: non-coding RNA, 71 nt
Organism: Pelobates cultripes (western spadefoot toad)
Lineage: Eukaryota; Metazoa; Chordata; Amphibia; Anura; Pelobatidae
Source: the annotation of a GenBank genome assembly
ACUGUAUAGUACUGUACACUGUAUAGUUACUAUGUAACUAUGUAACUAUACAGUGUACAGUACUAUACAGU